Molecule: ribosomal RNA, 822 nt
Filed under: Limosilactobacillus vaginalis
Lineage: Bacteria; Bacillati; Bacillota; Bacilli; Lactobacillales; Lactobacillaceae
Description: bacterial SSU rRNA
Rfam family: Bacterial small subunit ribosomal RNA
Source: RNAcentral
GCCCAACUGAUAUGACGUGCUUGCACUGAAUUGACGUUGGAUUACCAGUGAGCGGCGGACGGGUGAGUAACACGUGGGCAACCUGCCCUGAAGUGGGGGAUAACAUCUGGAAACAGGUGCUAAUACCGCAUAACAACGAAAACCACAUGGUUUUCGUUUCAAAGAUGGUUUCGACUAUCACUUCAGGAUGGGCCCGCGGUGCAUUAGCUAGUUGGUAAGGUAACGGCUUACCAAGGCAAUGAUGCAUAGCCGAGUUGAGAGACUGAUCGGCCACAAUGGAACUGAGACACGGUCCAUACUCCUACGGGAGGCAGCAGUAGGGAAUCUUCCACAAUGGGCGCAAGCCUGAUGGAGCAACACCGCGUGAGUGAAGAAGGGUUUCGGCUCGUAAAGCUCUGUUGUUGGAGAAGAACGUGCGUGAGAGUAACUGUUCACGCAGUGACGGUAUCCAACCAGAAAGUCACGGCUAACUACGUGCCAGCAGCCGCGGUAAUACGUAGGUGGCAAGCGUUAUCCGGAUUUAUUGGGCGUAAAGCGAGCGCAGGCGGUUGCUUAGGUCUGAUGUGAAAGCCUUCGGCUUAACCGAAGAAGGGCAUCGGAAACCGGGCGACUUGAGUGCAGAAGAGGACAGUGGAACUCCAUGUGUAGCGGUGGAAUGCGUAGAUAUAUGAAAGAACACCAGUGGCGAAGGCGGCUGUCUGGUCUUCAACUGACGCUGAGGCUCGAAAGCAUGGGUAGCGAACAGGAUUAGAUACCCUGGUAGUCCAUGCCGUAAACGAUGAGUGCUAGGUGUUGGAGGGUUUCCGCCCUUCAGUGCCGGAG